ACGCUGGCGGCGUGCCUAAUACAUGCAAGUCGAACGGACAAGUAAGAGCUUGCUCUUAUGAGUUAGUGGCGCACGGGUGAGUAAUGUAUAGCUAAUCUGCCCUACACUAGAGGACAACAGUUGGAAACGACUGCUAAUACUCUAUACUCCUCUCUAGCAUAAGUUAGAUAGGGAAAGUUUUUCGGUGUAGGAUGAGGCUAUAUUGUAUCAGCUAGUUGGUGAGGUAAUGGCUCACCAAGGCUAUGACGCAUAACUGGUCUGAGAGGAUGAUCAGUCACACUGGAACUGAGACACGGUCCAGACUCCUACGGGAGGCAGCAGUAGGGAAUAUUGCUCAAUGGGGGAAACCCUGAAGCAGCAACGCCGCGUGGAGGAUGACACUUUUCGGAGCGUAAACUCCUUUUGUUAGGGAAGAACAAUGACGGUACCUAACGAAUAAGCACCGGCUAACUCCGUGCCAGCGGCCGCGGUAAUACGGAGGGUGCAAGCGUUACUCGGAAUCACUGGGCGUAAAGGACGCGUAGGCGGAUUAUCAAGUCUCUUGUGAAAUCCUAUGGCUUAACCAUAGAACUGCUUGGGAAACUGAUAAUCUAGAGUGAGGGAGAGGCAGAUGGAAUUGGUGGUGUAGGGGUAAAAUCCGUAGAGAUCACCAGGAAUACCCAUUGCGAAGGCGAUCUGCUGGAACUCAACUGACGCUAAUGCGUGAAAGCGUGGGGAGCAAACAGGAUUAGAUACCCUGGUAGUCCACGCCCUAAACGAUGUAUACUAGUUGUUGCUAAGCUAGUCUUGGCAGUAAUGCACCUAACGGAUUAAGUAUACCGCCUGGGGAGUACGGUCGCAAGAUUAAAACUCAAAGGAAUAGACGGGGACCCGCACAAGCGGUGGAGCAUGCGGUUUAAUUCGAAGAUACGCGAAGAACCUU
This 922-nucleotide ribosomal RNA is filed under the name uncultured bacterium. Its description in RNAcentral is "bacterial SSU rRNA". It matches the Rfam family "Bacterial small subunit ribosomal RNA", at positions 33 to 972 of the family's 1533-position model. The record is from RNAcentral.